AUUGAACGCUGGCGGCAUGCCUUACACAUGCAAGUCGAACGGUAACAGGUUAAGCUGACGAGUGGCGAACGGGUGAGUAAUGUAUCGGAACGUGCCCAGUCGUGGGGGAUAACUGCUCGAAAGAGCAGCUAAUACCGCAUACGACCUGAGGGUGAAAGCGGGGGAUCGCAAGACCUCGCGCGAUUGGAGCGGCCGAUAUCAGAUUAGGUAGUUGGUGAGGUAAAGGCUCACCAAGCCGACGAUCUGUAGCUGGUCUGAGAGGACGACCAGCCACACUGGGACUGAGACACGGCCCAGACUCCUACGGGAGGCAGCAGUGGGGAAUUUUGGACAAUGGGCGCAAGCCUGAUCCAGCCAUGCCGCGUGCGGGAAGAAGGCCUUCGGGUUGUAAACCGCUUUUGUCAGGGAAGAAAAGGUUCUGGCUAAUACCUGGGACUCAUGACGGUACCUGAAGAAUAAGCACCGGCGAACUACGU
This 476-nucleotide ribosomal RNA is filed under the name uncultured bacterium. RNAcentral's name for it is "partial 16S ribosomal RNA". It matches the Rfam family "Bacterial small subunit ribosomal RNA", at positions 30 to 506 of the family's 1533-position model. The record is from RNAcentral.